Oncorhynchus keta (chum salmon) is the source of this 868-nucleotide long non-coding RNA. RefSeq lists it as uncharacterized. The record is from RefSeq and is a predicted model, not a curated record. Lineage: Eukaryota; Metazoa; Chordata; Actinopteri; Salmoniformes; Salmonidae. The transcript has 3 exons.
GAUUGGAUCCAGCGUGCUGUAGAGGUUUCUGAUUGGAUCCAGCAUGCUGUAGAGAGGUUUCUGAUUGGAUCCAGCGUGCUGUAGAGAGGUUUCUGAUUGGAUCCAGCGUGCUGUAGAGAGGUUUCUGAUUGGAUCCAGCGUGCUGUAGAGAGGUUUCUGAUUGGAUCCAGCGUGCUGUAGAGAGGUUUCUGAUUGGAUCCAGCGUGCUGUAGAGAGGUUUCUGAUUGGAUCCAGCGUGCUGUAGAGGUUUCUGAUUGGAUCCAGCGUGCUGUAGAGGUUUCUGAUUGGAUCCAGCAUGCUGUAGAGAGGUUUCUGAUUGGAUCCAGCAUGCUGUAGAGAGGUUUCUGAUUGGAUCCAGCGUGCUGUAGAGAGGUUUCUGAUUGGAUCCAGCAUGCUGUAGAGGUUUCUGAUUGGAUCCAGCGUGCUGUAGAGAGGUUUCUGAUUGGAUCCAGCGUGCUGUAGAGAGGUUUCUGAUUGGAUCCAGCGUGCUGUAGAGAGGUUUCUGAUUGGAUCCAGCAUGCUGUAGAGAGGUUUCUGAUUGGAUCCAGCAUGCUGUAGAGAGGUUUCUGAUUGGAUCCAGCAUGCUGUAGAGAGGUUUCUGAUUGGAUCCAGCAUGCUGUAGAGAGGUUUCUGAUUGGAUCCAGCGUGCUGUAGAGAGGUUUCUGAUUGGAUCCAGCGUGCUGUAGAGAGGUUUCUGAUUGGAUCCAGCGUGCUGUAGAGAGGUUUCUGAUUGGAUCCAGCGUGCUGUAGAGAGGUUUCUGAUUGGAUCCAGCGUGCUGUAGAGAGGUUUCUGAUUGGAUCCAGCGUGCUGUAGAGAGGUUUCUGAUUGGAUCCAGCAUGCUGUAGAGAGGUUUCUGAUUGGAUCCAG